AGUGAACGCUGGCGGCGUGCCUAAUACAUGCAAGUCGAACGAAGUGGCGCACGGGUGAGUAAUAUAUAGUUAAUCUGCCCUACACAGAGGAACAACAGUUGGAAACGGCUGCUAAUACCUCAUAGUGUAGGAUGAGACUAUAUCGUCUCAGCUAGUUGGUAAGGUAAUGGCUUACCAAGGCUAUGACGCGUAACUGGUCUGAUAGGAUGAUCAGUAUCAUUGGAACUGAGACACGGUCCAAACACCUACGGGAGGCAGCAGUAAUGAAAAUUACGCAAUGGGGGAAACCCUGACGCAGCAACGCCGCGUGGAGGAUGACACUUUUCGGAGCGUAAACUCCUUUGAACAUGAAAGCGGUACCUGACGAAUAAGCACCGGCUAACUACGUGCCAGCAGCCGCGGUAAUAC
This 408-nucleotide ribosomal RNA is filed under the name uncultured bacterium. RNAcentral's name for it is "partial 16S ribosomal RNA". It matches the Rfam family "Bacterial small subunit ribosomal RNA", at positions 29 to 526 of the family's 1533-position model. The record is from RNAcentral.